GACGAACGCUGGCGGCGUGCUUAACACAUGCAAGUCGAGCGGUAAGGCCCUUUCGGGGGUACACGAGCGGCGAACGGGUGAGUAACACGCGGGUGACCUGCCCUUAGCUCUGGGAUAAGCCUGGGAAACUGGGUCUAAUACCGGAUAUGACUCCAUAACGCAUGUUGUGGGGUGGAAAGCCUUGUGCGGCUAGGGGAUGGGCCCGCGGCCUAUCAGCUUGUUGGUGGGGUGAUGGCCACCAAGGCGACGACGGGUAGCCGGCCUGAGAGGGCGACCGGCCACACUGGGACUGAGACACGGCCCAGACUCCUACGGGAGGCAGCAGUGGGGAAUCUUGCGCAGUGGGCGAAAGCCUGACGCAGCGACGCC
RNAcentral lists this ribosomal RNA (369 nucleotides) under uncultured bacterium. Its description in RNAcentral is "bacterial SSU rRNA". It matches the Rfam family "Bacterial small subunit ribosomal RNA", at positions 28 to 398 of the family's 1533-position model. The record is from RNAcentral.